Molecule: transfer RNA, 62 nt
Filed under: Cucujoidea sp. 2 KM-2017
Lineage: Eukaryota; Metazoa; Arthropoda; Insecta; Coleoptera
Description: tRNA-Glu
Source: RNAcentral
AUUUAUAUAGUUUAUAAAAACAUUAUAUUUUCAAUAUAAAAAUAGAAUUUAUCUUAUAAAUA